Molecule: small nuclear RNA, 102 nt
Organism: Octodon degus (degu)
Lineage: Eukaryota; Metazoa; Chordata; Mammalia; Rodentia; Octodontidae
Source: Ensembl
UUGCUUCAGCAGCAAAUAUACUAAAAUUGGAACGAUAUAGAGCAGAUUAGCAUGGCCUUGUGCAAGGAUGACACGCAAAUUGGUGAAGUGUUCCAUGUUUUU